GAGCUCUACCUAAACCAGCUUUGUAUUUAAGGCCCAGCUCAGAUUCAAUAACUAAACAAGCUCUAUUUCAAGCCAAGCUGAUCACGAGUAGCUUUCCUUCUUUACACCCAGAGUUAAUGAUUCGAGUGAAAGAUGAUGUUGUUCAUGUAUAUGCAUCUCAACAAGACAAACAAAGGAAUAUUAUUAAAAUACAAACAAGAUUUAUAAUAAGAAAAAGCAUUAAUCCAUAAAUUUAUCAUCAACCUUCUUCUUCUUCCUCAAAGGCGGUCGCCGGAAACGUACGCGACAACCCAGCCGGCGUCCCAAACGUAAUCUUCCCACCUUCCGUCACACAAAUAUCCGAAACCGUCACCCAAAUCAACAGCUCUUUACUCUUCACACCGGUCAAAUUCCUCAUCCGACGGUCCUCAACAAACGCCGUAACUUCGCAAUCAUACGACACUUUCCGACUGAUCAUACGGAAGACGUGAUUCGUCUUCUUCUUCCGGCGGACCCACACGAACCCUGUGGCGGCGUUGUGGCCGACCUCCGUGACGUCAGUUAGAGGGAUGAGGCCUUUUGGGAGGGAGAAUUUGGUUAAGAGCUCGUGAGAUUUUUGCUUGCAGAGGGCUUCGCCGGUGAAGAUUUCGGCGUUUUCACGGUGGGAUUGGAUCUGUUGGGAUGACAUUUCGUUGAUGGUGUGAGCGGAGAAUUGUAGGGUUUUGUGGGAGUAUAAAAUAAAUUGGGUGGGGGUAAAAGAAAAGAAAAGAAAUACGCGUCUUCUUGAUAUUAUUAUUGAGAGUAUAAAAAUGGUAUAAAGUGAGUGUAUUUAAGUCAUGCGUGUAGGUCUUAUGUUGCUCAACGAAUUUAAAACGUUCUUGAGUCGAGUAUUGAAUGGGUUUUGA
This 884-nucleotide long non-coding RNA is filed under the name Helianthus annuus (common sunflower). RNAcentral's name for it is "sRNA HanXRQr2_Chr15g0708281". The record is from RNAcentral. Lineage: Eukaryota; Viridiplantae; Streptophyta; Magnoliopsida; Asterales; Asteraceae.